CAAUAUGAAGGUCAGGCUGAAGACCUUACCCGAUUAGCUGAGAGGUGGUGCAUGGCUGUCGUCAGUUCGUACUGUGAAGCAUCCUGUUAAGUCAGGCAACGAGCGAGACCCACGUCCACAGUUGCCAGCAUACCCUCCGGGGUGAUGGGUACACUGUGGAGACCGCCGCUGCUAAAGCGGAGGAAGGAGUGGGCAACGGUAGGUCAGUAUGCCCCGAAUCUCCCGGGCUACACGCGGGCUACAAUGGUUGGUACAAUGGGCAUCUACCCCGAAAGGGGAAGGAAAUCUCUUAAAAGCCAAUCGUAGUUCGGAUUGAGGGCUGCAACUCGCCCUCAUGAAGCUGGAAUCCGUAGUAAUCGCGUUUCAACAGAACGCGGUGAAUACGUCCCUGCUCCUU
Molecule: ribosomal RNA, 397 nt
Filed under: uncultured Methanosaeta sp.
Lineage: Archaea; Methanobacteriati; Methanobacteriota; Methanomicrobia; Methanotrichales; Methanotrichaceae
Description: bacterial SSU rRNA
Rfam family: Archaeal small subunit ribosomal RNA
Source: RNAcentral